Molecule: transfer RNA, 86 nt
Filed under: Streptomyces sp. WAC 01420
Lineage: Bacteria; Bacillati; Actinomycetota; Actinomycetes; Kitasatosporales; Streptomycetaceae
Also listed under: 1 other name
Description: tRNA-Ser
Rfam family: tRNA
About the family: Transfer RNA (tRNA) molecules are approximately 80 nucleotides in length. Their secondary structure includes four short double-helical elements and three loops (D, anti-codon, and T loops). Further hydrogen bonds mediate the characteristic L-shaped molecular structure. tRNAs have two regions of fundamental functional importance: the anti-codon, which is responsible for specific mRNA codon recognition, and the 3' end, to which the tRNAs corresponding amino acid is attached (by aminoacyl-tRNA synthetases). tRNAs cope with the degeneracy of the genetic code in two manners: having more than one tRNA (with a specific anti-codon) for a particular amino acid; and 'wobble' base-pairing, i.e. permitting non-standard base-pairing at the 3rd anti-codon position.
Source: RNAcentral
GGAGGAUUGGCCGAGUGGUAAGGCACCGGUUUGCUCAACCGUGGUCGGGUCUACAGCCCGCGCACGUUCGAUCCGUGCAUCCUCCG